UUCUGCAUUAUAAUGAUUUGUGGAAGCUGAAAAAUCUUAGAAAUUAAAGUGGCUUUAAAGUUUAAACAUCUGCAUUCUGUGCUGGCAAGAGCCAAGAAUUCAUCUUCCAAAUUGGAAUUUCCCAUUUCUCCCGCCAAAGCUUGUGAGUUUGUGAUUCGAAAUUGUCAGUAUGGGAAGCUGAACUGAACAACACCUCCAUUCUAUUCCCUCAAAUUUUUCUACGUCGGCUUCAGUACCACAGGUUUUGUUCCUAAAUUCAACUUGAGAUGUUCUAUUUUCUCCGUCCAAUUUCACCAAUAAACCCUUAUACUAAGUUAGGGUUAUCAAGACUAAUUUUUUUCUUUUCAGUUUUACUGUUUUUUCCUAAUUUUUUGGAAUUUGGUUUCAGAUAGAGACGCUCUAUGUGAAGCUCUACAGCAAAUAUACGAAGAUCGAGGUUUUGGGGGUUUUUCCUUAACCGUUUCUGUUUAUUUUUAUUGCUGCUGAGUGAAAAAAGUUAGUAUCUUUUCCUGUUUACUAUUAUUGAUUUGCGAGACCUUAAAAUUUCAGUUGAUGAAUCUUUUGUCAUGGUCUAAAACAUUGCUUGUUCUAGUUCUACAGAUUGCAUGGCCAUGUUGAUAGGUGGUCUAUCCAUGCUUACAGGGGUCUUUCUAAUCUCAUCCUAUUGCAUGCGUAGAUGCUGGAGGCGUUUGAUUCAAUGGAUAUACCUAAUAAAACACAUUAUGCAAUUACUUGCUAACAUAAAAGUGAACUAGGAACAAAGUGUAAGGCAAUGUGAUUUACUAAAAUUCUUAUGAUUAGUUUGUAGAUUUCCAUGGUAUGUUUUUUCAGGUAUCCCUAGGUUUUCUUCUGACUGUGUGCUUCUUCCUUAUAGUGUGUGCUUUUCAUAUCUAUUAUUUUCCCAUACCUCCAUUCAUCUCACCACAGUUUUGUAAUUUUUUCCUAAUUCCAGUCAGGUUUACUUUAUGUACCUCAGCAUCUAUAUAUCGCGUUUAUCACUUAAUUGACAGUAUUAUGAUUGUUUGCAGAUAGUGGAAAGAAAAAUCAGACGC
RNAcentral lists this long non-coding RNA (1052 nucleotides) under Nicotiana tabacum (common tobacco). RNAcentral's name for it is "long non-coding RNA (NTAB_LNC007002)". Lineage: Eukaryota; Viridiplantae; Streptophyta; Magnoliopsida; Solanales; Solanaceae. The record is from RNAcentral.